This 1183-nucleotide long non-coding RNA is filed under the name Capsicum annuum. Its description in RNAcentral is "long non-coding RNA (CANN_LNC002954)". Lineage: Eukaryota; Viridiplantae; Streptophyta; Magnoliopsida; Solanales; Solanaceae. The record is from RNAcentral.
UCCAUUAUUAGGCUCUAUUGGCUGAAUCGAUAUAUUAUCCUUAGUCAUUAUGCACAAUAGAUAUUUUACAAAGAAAUCAACCACUGCCUUUUUUUUUAUCUAGAUAGACCUUCACACUUAUAUCAUUGUGUAUGAUCAUUAGCGAACAUCUAUCACUGAUUAUAAACUUUAUUUUAAAGUGAUUUGAAGUUGUAUCUAUCCUCUACUGAACUGCAAUUACUUCAACUAACCCUCUAUAAUUUGUAGUUGCAUCAUACAUAAUUCCAUCUAUACCAAAGACUUUUGAUCUCCCUGAUACAACAACAAAUAUAAUAUAAUUAGUCAUUAUGUCAUGCAUCCCAAGAUCAUACACUAUUACUUAAAAAAUCACUGUUUCGUGUGACUUUCAUCAUAUAUAUAAUUGAAUGCUAAAUAUCAAAUUGUUGAACAAGAUAACAUACCUGAAGCACCACAAUUCAUAUUUGUAUGUCUCAUUUUUAAACUUUUUUGCAGAUUACAGAACUUAAUUUUCAAUAAAAAUAAUCAAAUAUGGAUGGAGUAAAACGUCGCAUUAAACAACAAAAACUUAUAAAAGAUUUUGACUGAAACAAUAGAUUAUUGAAGAAAGAAAAAAGAAAAUUAUUAAAUAAAUAUUGAAUUUCGUCUACACCAAAGUCUCUUGGUCUCCCUGUUGCAACAUCAAAUAUUGUAUAAGUUUUCGAUUAUGUCAUGCAACCCACAAACAUACACAUUACGAUCAAAAGUAACUGUUUAAAGAGACUUUCUUCAUAAUAUUGUAGAAAUUUCAACAUUUUAACAUCACAUAAUUGAAGAAAAUAUAAAAGUUUCUUUAUUAUUUUAUCCCUAAAUGGUUUAAAAGAAUAUUAAAUUCUUUAAAUAGAAGUGAAUGCAAAAUAUAAACUUGCUAAACAAUUUAACAUACCUGAGGCAUAUAAUUUCCCUCCAUGAUGUAUUACGAUUGAAUGAAAAUUAUCACAAUUCAUAUUUGUGUGUCUCAUUUUUUAAUUUUUUGUAGAAUAAUGAACGUUUUAAAAAAAAAAUUACUCAAACAUUGCACUAAACAAAAACUUAUGAAAGAUUUUUAUUGACUCAAUAUAUUCUUGUAAAAAGGCAAAAACGAAUGUGUAUGAAGAUGGAAAAGAAAUUGGCGUGUUCAAAAAAAGGAGAAAAAAAAUGGUUAAAG